RNAcentral lists this ribosomal RNA (253 nucleotides) under uncultured bacterium. RNAcentral describes it as "partial 16S ribosomal RNA". It matches the Rfam family "Bacterial small subunit ribosomal RNA", at positions 524 to 776 of the family's 1533-position model. The record is from RNAcentral.
UACGUAGGGGGCAAGCGUUGUCCGGAAUCAUUGGGCGUAAAGCGCGUGUAGGCGGUUCGGUAAGUCUGCUGUGAAAGUCACAGGCUCAACCUGUGAAUGCCGCUGGAAACUGUCUGGCUAGAGUCCGGAAGGGGCGAGUGGAAUUCCUGGUGUAGCGGUGAAAUGCGCAGAUAUCAGGAGGAACACCAAUGGCGAAGGCAGCUCGCUGGAACGGUACUGACGCUGAGGCGCGAAAGCGUGGGGAGCGAACAGG